RNAcentral lists this ribosomal RNA (393 nucleotides) under Salmonella enterica. RNAcentral's name for it is "partial 23S ribosomal RNA". It matches the Rfam family "Bacterial large subunit ribosomal RNA", at positions 1 to 432 of the family's 2925-position model. The record is from RNAcentral. Lineage: Bacteria; Pseudomonadati; Pseudomonadota; Gammaproteobacteria; Enterobacterales; Enterobacteriaceae.
GGUUAAGCGACUAAGCGUACACGGUGGAUGCCCUGGCAGUCAGAGGCGAUGAAGGGCGUGCUAAUCUGCGAUAAGCGCCGGUAAGGUGAUAUGAACCGUUAUAACCGGCGAUACCCGAAUGGGGAAACCCAGUGUGACUCGUCACACUAUCAUUAACUGAAUCCAUAGGUUAAUGAGGCGAACCGGGGGAACUGAAACAUCUAAGUACCCCGAGGAAAAGAAAUCAACCGAGAUUCCCCCAGUAGCGGCGAGCGAACGGGGAGGAGCCCAGAGCCUGAAUCAGCAUGUGUGUUAGUGGAAGCGUCUGGAAAGGCGCGCGAUACAGGGUGACAGCCCCGUACACAAAAGCGCAUGUGCUGUGAGCUCGAUGAGUAGGGCGGGACACGUACACGU